This 175-nucleotide ribosomal RNA is filed under the name uncultured bacterium. RNAcentral's name for it is "partial 16S ribosomal RNA". It matches the Rfam family "Bacterial small subunit ribosomal RNA", at positions 1325 to 1500 of the family's 1533-position model. The record is from RNAcentral.
GUCGGAAUUGCUAGUAAUCGCGGAUCAGCAUGCCGCGGUGAAUACGUUCCCGGGCCUUGUACACACCGCCCGUCACACCAUGGGAGCCGGUAAUACCCGAAGUCAGUAGUCCAACCUCGUGAGGACGCUGCCGAAGGUAGGAUUGGCGACUGGGGUGAAGUCGUAACAAGGUAGC